GAGAAAUCAACAGAGAUUCCGCAAGUAGUGGCGAGCGAACGCGGAAGAGGCCAAACCGAAGGAAUUAUUCUUCGGGGUUGCGGACAGUCAUUUAACAGAAGUUAUCUAGGAGAAAGGUCUGGGAAGGCCUGCCAUAGAGGGUGAGAGCCCCGUAUUUGAAAGAGAAGGCUGUGAGACUGGAUCCAGAGUACCGCUGGACACGUGAAACCCGGUGGGAAACAGGGGGGACCACCCUCCAAGCCUAAAUACUACCUGAUGACCGAUAGAGGAGCAGUACCGUGAGGGAAAGGUGAAAAGGACCCCGGGAGGGGAGUGAAAGAGAACCUGAAACCUUGUGCUUACAAGCUGUCAGAGCACGUUAAAGUGUGAUGGCGUACUUUUUGUAGAACGGUCCGGCGAGUUAUAGUAACGAGCAAGCUUAAGGUAUUCAGUACCGGAGGCGCAGCGAGAGCGAGUCUGAACAGGGCGUAUGAAGUUCGUUGCCAUAGACCCGAAACCGGGUGACCUACCCAUGAGCAGGUUGAAGUGGGGGUGAAACCCCAUGGAGGACCGAACCGACCCCCGUUGCAAUGGUGGCGGAUGACUUGUGGGUAGCGGUGAAAUUCCAAUCGAACUCGGAGAUAGCUGGUUCUCCCCGAAAUAGCUUUAGGGCUAGCGUUAUGUUAGAUUACCGGAGGUAAAGCACUGAAUGGUCGAGGGGCUGAUAAAGUUACCAACGCCUAUCAAACUCUGAAUGCCGGAUAAUUGAUGCAUAGCAGUCAGACAGUGUGAGAUAAGUUUCAUUGUCAAAAGGGAAACAGCCCAGACCUACAGCUAAGGUCCCCAAUGUAUGCUAAGUGGAAAACGAUGUGGAGUUGCGAAAACAACCAGGAUGUUGGCUCAGAAGCAGCCAUACAUUAAAAGAGUGCGUAAUAGCUCACUGGUCGAGUGACUCUGCGCGGAAAAUGUAACGGGGCUAAGUAUCUAACCGAAGCUUAGGCAGUCAAUGACUGGGUAGGGGAGCGUUCUAUGCGGGGGCGAAGUCAGAGCGAGAGCACUGGUGGACUGCAUAGAAGUGAGAAUGCCGGAAUAAGUAGCGAGAAUUAUGUGAGAAUCAUAAUGGCCGAAAAUCUAAGGUUUCUUGGGGAAGGUUCGUCCGCCCAAGGUUAGUCGGGAGCUAAGGCGAGGCCUAACGGCGUAGUCGAUGCACAUACGGUAGAAAUUCCGUAACCACCGAACUUUAAACAUAAGGGACGCUUUCAUUAAGGUGAACCCGGGCGAUGGUUGCCCCGGGCGUAAGGGACCGAAAUAUAGUACGGAAGUCACUAGCGUGAGAGACGAGAAAAGCUUAUGCGUAUACUAAGGUGCCCGUACCGCAAACCGACACAGGUAGAUGGGAUGAGUAUUC
This 1387-nucleotide ribosomal RNA is filed under the name gut metagenome. RNAcentral's name for it is "bacterial LSU rRNA". It matches the Rfam family "Bacterial large subunit ribosomal RNA", at positions 216 to 1681 of the family's 2925-position model. The record is from RNAcentral.